Molecule: long non-coding RNA, 22377 nt
Filed under: Ananas comosus (pineapple)
Lineage: Eukaryota; Viridiplantae; Streptophyta; Magnoliopsida; Poales; Bromeliaceae
Description: long non-coding RNA (ACOM_LNC028381)
Source: RNAcentral
AUUGUUCCGACAUUGAGUAGUCACGCAUGGUCCCAUGGGGCUACUUGUGUUUGGGCAAUGUGAACAUCUUGUCAUAUGAUGCUACAAGAUGGGAUUACCAACGGAUCCAAGAAAUUGUCCGGUGAGGGUCUUUUGGUAGUUCCAUACUUGUAGGAAAGGUGGGUUCGACUUAACUAGGGCGUUUGCACCAAGAAACUGUCCGGUGAGGUGUAAAACCCUAGAGGCCGAAGGAUGAUCGGAUCGUACAUGAGAUGUACCGAGGUAAGGUGUUACCCGCUUACUAAAUUACGACUUUCCAAGAAACCGUCCGGCGAGGUAAGUCAUAAUUUAUAAGACCCUGAUCCCCGCUAGAAAUAUCAAGGGUUGACGAUUUCCGUCUUUCCACCUAGGGAGUGUGGAAAUUCAAUAAAUUUAGUGGGGGGUACCUAUUGGAUUUAAAGGCCCUAAUCUAAUAGGAUAAAAAUGAUUAAUACUUAACUAUAUAAUCAUUUCUAUUUAGCUACACAGUUGACCUUAUUUGAAACAAUUUUCAAUCUGUUGACAACUAACUGAUUGGGUAGGAUAUAGAGAAUUGUUCUCAAUUUGAAGUAAGUAGUCGACAUACUUAACUCCAUCCUAAUCUCUCAUUUGGAGAUUCAUAACCAAGAAAAUAUAAUUUCAAAAUAAGUACGACAUCAUUACACAUUAGAGCAAAUGGUUGCUUAGAUAAACAAAACUAUUAAUAUUCAAAGUGUGUUGUGGAAAACAUAAAGAAUAUUUAUAGUUUAUUAUAUUUUAUACAAAAGUUGUAUAAUAAAUGAUGUCUUCUUUGCAAAUAUAAGAUAUUAAAGAUAUUAAUACAAGAGUUGUAUGAUGAGUAUUGUUGAAUACGUGACAUUACAUGUCCGCAUACAAGAGUUGUAUGGUAUGUGGAGUCAUAUACUCGAUAUGAGAUAUCAAGUUUAAAUAGAUAAGUAAGGAUGGACCUCUGUGAUCGUCACAGAUAGAGGUCGAGCUAACUUCUAAUUCCAGAUAAUCCAAUUGGAUAUGAUAAGUUCAAUAUCUUACUUGUUACAUUGAGAAGUAUUUUGUAUUAAAUAGAUAGGCAUCUAGUGUGAUAUCCUUUGGACUGAAAAUGUAGCAAGAGUUGCCAUAUUAGUUCAAAGAAAAGAUACGAAUUACCAUUUGGUUAAAAACUUAAAUGCUGUCUUUAAGGGCUGAUAUACCUUUUACUUUGAGAAAGUACAAUUCUAUCUAUUAUUUAUUAUAUAAUUUAUUUGAAAAGUAUAAGUACCUUGAAGGAUGGCUUUACUUUUUAAAGAAUGGUAAAUUGCACAAUUUAUAUGUGAUAAGGAAGUUAUUAAAUUUGAUGUAAACUAGAGGUCAGAGAAUUAAGAGUUCAUAUAGCACUUGUGAUUAGGUUGCAUCGGUACGGAUAGGAUAAAUAGAUUGGCUAAUAAUGGUUUUGAGUUGUUUAUUCAAAACCAUACCCAAUCUAUGAGUCCAGUUCUAAACUGAUAUAACUAAAUCAUCCUUUGUGAGACAAAGUAUAGUAGCCAUUAAAUACUCAUACUAAUGCAUGGUGAUGCAUAUCGAUCAUAUGAUGAUCAUGAAUGGUUCUCUGAUAUUUCAUUACUUUUACUAAUGAAGGUCAUAGUAAAAGUCAUAUGGAUCUUAUAAAUCGCGAAAUUGAAUACUUUGAAGAAGUUCAAAGAGAAUUCAAAAUAAAGUUAAGCACAAGAAAGGGUGUUAAUACUUAAUCGAUUAGAUCGAGUAGGUUAUUGCCUUAGUAUUGAGCAUUACAUAACCUCUAGUAUAUAGACAUUCUUUACAGUUUCCUUUUAAUACUUUUUGGUAUUUCAAAGGAGAAGUCGUAUCUUGUAAGACAUGGUACAAGUUAAAGUUAACUGUGUAAUUGUAUUAUUAUUCACUCUACAGUGUGCCAAUCUUAUCAAUGUAUUCCCACUAAAAGUAGUCCCUUCCGAAAUUUUUGCCUAUAAGAUCGCAUACGAUGUGAAAAGAUAGAAGGCAAUUAUUAUGACUUGUAGAUAUCCAUCAUUUAUUUUCGGAACAUGAAAUAGAUUGGAUGGAUACUGCAUCUAGCGUAUAUAGACUCAAUCAAUCUCAAAGAGUUGAGAUAUUAUAUUUUCUUCCCAAGAAAAGAUUUUUGUUGACAUACUUAUUUUUCAAUAAAAGGUUUAUUAUGAAAGAAGCAGUGGGAGGAAUCUAUAUGGCUCAACAAAGUGUCUAUUGAGCUGUGAGUCUAUAAGUCUAGAUUAAUUAUUUGUACACAUAAGAUCUAAGAUAUUUUCUAAAUCUUAGAUCAAAUUGGAUUUGAUCAUGAGGUAUUAGAAGAAAUUGUUCUUCUAAAAAGAGAUAAUGAUUAUCUUAGAUGUGAAGAAACGAUAUGAGAUAUCAAUCCGAGAAGAUAGAUGCAUACAAGCAAAUUUGAAUGGAUGAUAUGAUCUUAAAUUAUUGACUCUCUAUAAGGUAAGGUACCUUGUGAGUUUUACAAUUAAAGAUUUGUAUAAAUAAAAGGUACAGACCUUUGAAACUCCAUCACUAACAAAAUGUUGCGGUCAAAGAGAAAGUCUCGAAUACAGUGACAGAUUUAUGGUGGAUAUCAUAAUCCAUUUGUUUUUGCUUGUUAAACAUGGUGAUAUGAGAUAUCAUAGUUGAUUCUUAAUUUAUAUUAUUAAAGAAAGCUACUGUUCCGAACAGUGGAAGAAUUUCCUCACAAACUGUAAAAGGAUCUAAACUAUCUUCUUGAAAAUAUGACGUCUGCUUCAAAAUGCAAGCAACGUGUUUGGUGUAUCGGAAGAAUAGACGAGUCAAAAAGUGUAUAGAGAAAUAGUGGGAGUACAAAAUAUGCUUUACGUAUUGUACGUAAAUAAUAUUUAAUAUUUGAGAAAUUUAACCAGUAUGAUAAUAUUGAUUAUCAAGAACUUCUUGAUGAAAAUUCUAGUUAUAUAUUUUCAUCUGAAGAAUGGGGGUCUAUGGAGAUAAAUCUGAUAAAUUUCUUGAACUGCGUACAUAGGAUAUCAUGUUGAAGAGGUCAACAAGAUUAAAUUCUAAUGAGAGACAUAUUAUCCUUUGGAAGGAAGUUGUCUCUAACAGUGUGUGUGACAUAUUAAGAAAGGAUGCACUUAUGCGGGAUCCUUUAUAAUUCAAUAUUUGGAAUCUACACGUGUAUUAUUCUAUGUGCGAUGAUUGAUACAGUAAAUAUUACUGAUAGAUAUUAUCUAAUACUUGUGAAGUAUUGACACUAAAGAGAGAAAAGAGAGAUUUUAUAAGAUUGUAUUGGAGUUGUUGUUGCUUAAAAAGCUUGAGCAAGAUAACAUGAAUGUUAAGUGUGGCGCUGCAUGAGAUGCACUAUAGAAUAUGUUCUGGUUCAUGGAGUUUAGAACUCCAUAUGGUUCAUAUGAUAUAGAACCUAGGUCUCAUCAAUGAUCCAGACGUAUUUAGUGAAUGAAAAUAAUUUAUACUCCCAACAACUUUCCUAAGUAGAAUAUAAUAGUCAUGAAUAGUUCAGUGGAUGCACUAGCUAAAAAGCUUACUCUUCAAGGGUUGAAGAGUUGACUUUAAAUAAUGCAUAUAAGAUAUGUGAGUGUUUGGCUUUAGUGCAAGUGGGAGAUUGUUAGUUAUAUGCCCAAAAGCCCAUAUGGGGACACUAGCUUAAAGGUAUUUGCGUAUUAAUUGUUUAUAAUUCAUAAUAUGAGGGCAGAUAUUCUAUUCAUGUCUAUUGUAUAGCAGUUCAAUAUUUGACAUGAAUCGUCCAUACAGUCUUUGUUUGACAAAGACAUAUUUCUAAGAGUUAGAAAUUUGAGAUAUGUAUUUUUCUGUACGGGACUGUUUAAAUGCUCCUAGCCAGAAGAAUAUUACAAGGACGGUAAUAUUCCGGAUAAGCCGGUGUAUGCUAUGUUUCUAAUUGAGGUGACGAAUCUCAAGUCACUAGUGUAGGGACACUAGAACAAGCAUACAAGUGCUUGUUAGAAAACAAGUACACUGAGCGUGACUAUUUAAUUGAACAGUCAUAUGGUUCCAUGCUCGCCAGUGACAGGUUCAUUGCUACAGUUGUGUGAAGUACUCCUCAGACCUGAGGCAUCAUAGUUGCUUCACGUACAGGUUGCUACCGUUUGAUAGUACUAAUACUUAAACUCUAGACAUGGGUCUAUAUUCGGUACUGAUUGGCUGUAGUGAUUUAUACGAGAAGGCAUGUGAAUGCGCAAUAAGGAAUCUAACACUUUCAAUGACGAGGGAGAAUGUCCUAUGCAGUCUAUCGGACUUGACUCGGAAAACCCCUGGCCAGGGUACUUGGUAUGUGGAAAGAGUUUCCAACUGUGUUAUCAUAUUGAGUUGAUUUCAGAUAGUCUAGNNNNNNNNNNNNNNNNNNNNNNNNNNNNNNNNNNNNNNNNNNNNNNNNNNNNNNNNNNNNNNNNNNNNNNNNNNNNNNNNNNNNNNNNNNNNNNNNNNNNAUAUAUAUAUAUAUAUAUAUAUAUAUAUGUAUAUAUAUAUAUAUGCCCAGUUAUUAAUUAAUUAAUAUUAAUUACUCGCUAAUUAGAGAGAGAGAGGGGGGGGAGGGGGAGAGAGAGAGAGUGAAAAAACCCUCUCAUGGUCACCCCGGUGCGGACGUUCGCCGGAGCUCCUGCGAGACGGGAGAAGGUGCGGCGCAUCUUCGAGCUCUUCGAUGCCGACGGCGACGGCGCCCUAGGCCGGUCGGAGUUGUCGGCGCUCGUGGCUGCCGUCAACCCCGGCGUCGUCUUCACAGCCGACCAGCUCUGCUCAGUCCUCGACGCCGUCUUCCGCUCCUACGCCGGCGCCGCUGACGCCGACCGCCUCUCCCUCGCCGGCCUCCUCCGCUCCUACGACGACGGCGCCGGCGACGUCGACCGCGACUUCGCCGCCCUCUUCCCCGACCUCGCCCCAAGCCCUAAGCCUAGCCCUAGCCCUAGCCCUAGCCCCAAUGGUCCUCUCAGCCCCCUUGCCUCCCCCAUCCACGAGAUCGCCUUCGACUCCACCCGCGCGGCGGUGGCGCGGCUGGAAGCCCUAAUCAAGAACCGCGAUGGGGGAUUCGCGAAGGGGUUGAGGGAGAUCAGGGCGAAUCUCGACCGUUCGGGAGCGGUCGAGGCGGCGUCAGAGGGCCACGUGGCGAUCGGCCGCGCCCUCUUCCGCGCGCGGCUUCUCCCCGACGCCGUCGACUGCUUCCGCCGCGCCGCGGAGCUCUCCCCCGCGGACCCGCGCGCGCACUUCCGCCUCGGCACCGCGCUCUCCGCGCUGGAUCGGCCUCGCGACGCCCGGCGCAGCCUCUCCGCCGCGCUCGAGACGGCGUCGGCGGACGCGCUGCGCUGGCAAGCGCUCCUCCCCCAGAUCCGCGUGAACCUCGGCGUCGUCCUCGAGCGCGAGGGCCUCCUCCUCGCCGCGGCCGAGCACUACCGCGCCGCCGCGCGCCUCUGCCCCACCCACUACCGCGCCCUCAAGCUUCUCGGCAGCGCCCUCUGCGGCGCGGGGGAGCACCUCCGCGCCGUGGCCGCGCUGGAGGAAGCGCUCCUCCUGAAGCCGGAUUUCCCGGACGCACUCUGCGACCUGGGCGCCGCGCUCCACGCCGCGGGCGAGCGCGACCGCGCGGCGCAGUGCUUUGACAGGGCUCUUCAGCUCGACGCCGCCCAUGCCGACGCGGCGUUCAACCUCGGCGGCGUGUUUAAGGACAUGGGCCUGUACGGACCCGCUGUGGAGGCGUACGGACGCGCCCUCGUGUCUCGGCCGGACCACUGGGCGGCCGAGCUGAACCGGGCCGCCGUGCUCCUCGGCGCUGGCCAGCCGGCCGCAGCCAAGAAGGCUCUGGAGGAGGCCUACAAGCGAACAAAGCGGGUCGAGCUCUACGAUGCGAUCUUAUACGUGAAGAAGCACCAGAGGUGGCUUAGGCUUAGAGAAGGUAACGGUGUCGAUUUUGCGGUCGUUGAUCCUUCUGCGUUCAAAACAGCAGAUAGGAGAACAACGCAUGCGAGGUGUUUGACGGAUGCUCUCUGUAUAAGGGACAUCCAGAAGAUUACCCGGUUAGGCCGAAUCGAUGCUAAUUUGCUUCGGAGGGAGAUGGGAGGGCGGGAGAGAGUGGCUACGAAGGCCGAAUUGGAGGGGAUUCUAAGGAAGCUUCUCCAUUUCCUCAACGUCGAAUCAUUUCAGGAGGCGAUGAAGGUGAUCAACGAGAAGAUUUUGACCAUUCUAGAUGCUACAAGUUCAGGAAAGAUUGACCUUAGUAUGUUCUUUGCAGUCGUCGCCCCUAUAUGCACGGGCCCGCCAGAAAAUCGCAAAGGUGUUGCCUUCGAUUUCCUCUCUGAUAAUGGAGGAUUCAACGGCCGAAUAUCUAAAACUGAUGCUUCCAUAUAUUUGAAGUACAUGAGGGUGAUAUACUUCCAAAAUUCACAGUCAUUCAGUGAUCCGGUUGAACUUGGUGGGCAAGAAGAAGAUCGCGCGAAAAUAUUGUUCUCAGAGUUUGUUGGUAUUUUUGAUGAUGCAGAUCGCGGUUUCGGGAUUUUGCCAAUCGUUAUAAAGCUCGAGGCCAUGGAUAAUGCACGCAACAGUAGGCAAGCAUGCGGAGUUUGCAAGUACCAGAUCGGCGGAUUGAUGUUCAAGGAGAUUGCUUGCCAUUUCUGGCUGUGUUCGAGCUGUUACAGUGAACACAAGGUACCAUCUGCAUUUAGGAAAGAUGAGUACGUGUUUAAGGAGUAUAUGAUUGAUAAGUAAGUACUAGAUUUAUUACUUUUUCUUUUUAUGCAUUAUACAUAUAAAUUCAUUGCGUGUAAAUAAAAAAAAAAAAAAAAAAAAAAACUGCAUUUGGCUCAUAUUUGUGAGUGUUUCGUGUUUACAAUGGCUUACACAUAGAGAUAUAGAAAAGAGCCAGUUUUCAUACUUGUGGAUAGAAUUCCAUAAGCCAAUAAUGAAACGAUUAAUCUGUUCUUCUACCUUUUGGCACUUUGCAGUGUACUAAUAUGAUCGUUUUAUAGAUUGUAGUGGCUCUUAUGUUCUACUUUUGAGAGGACUUUGUGCUUAAUUGACUGAGCUCUUAUGGUUAUAAAUAAGCUUGAUAUUAUUUCGUGGUAGUUUAGUGGAUUGAAAAAUUGCAGAAAUUCUGCCUGCACACGUAGAGAAUGUUCGGACUAGGGGACUAGCGACGUGUAGUUAUCACACGAAGGGCAUCUCCAGUAGCUUAGCUAUUGGCUGUGAGAUUUGCAUAGCAGUUGUUGAUACUCGAUUUUCUGAACAGCUUUGCUUUCGGCAAAACUAUAGUCUGAUAAGUCAUCUGAUAGGAUUUGCUACGGAAGUAAGAGCACGGUAGGAAGUAAGAACUACUCGCUCGUCAGCCUCUUUGAUGCUUCUGUGGAAGUGCGUGCUGGUUGAGGGAGCGGCCUAUUAUUAAUAAACAAUGUUCAAAAUAGUGCUUCUGUGGAAGAGAAAAAAGUUACUAGUUUUGCGAUUCUACAAAAAUUAACUACUAUUUUGAAUUUUACAGAUUCGGACUGUAUUUUCAACAAACUGAACAAAUACCUUUAUCCCUUUCCCUCUCUUCUUUUUUUUUUCUUCAUUCUUUUUUUUUUUUCUCUCCUACCCUCAUCGUCUCCUCCACCGUCUCAGCGGCUCUCGGUGACGGUAGCGAGGACGGCGCCACCUCUCCUCCUCCUCCAUCUCUCCUCGCCGGCGCCGGUAGCCCUCGGUGACCGUAAUGAGGGCGGCCCGCCUCCUUUUCCUCCGCCUCCGCCUUUGCCGGCGCCGGAGAAGGAGAAGAACUUGGAGCGGAUUUGGGUAAGGACAGAGUGGAUAGAAGAACUCGAAGCGGAUCUGGAUGAGGACGGAGCAGACGAAGGCAAUGAGGUCGUUGCCGAGUAAGUGCUCACCGCCGGUGAGAGUGAGGAAAAAAGACGUGCCUAUUUCCAAUGAGCAAACAAAGAUGCAGAUGGUAGAAAAAAAUAAAAAGUAAAAAAAUAAGGCAAAGGGCUUGGUGGUUGGUACCCGAAGUUCCAAGUUCGAAUCCUAGUUUAUUCACAUUUCCAGCUAAGUUUAUUUUUAAAUGAAAUAAACGAAUCGGACAGCGUUCUACCUAUCUCUAAAAAAAAAAAUAAAAAACAAAAAAUAAAAAAAAUUUCUCAUUGAGAAAUCAUUAUAUAUUGUUGUUGUAAUUGAAAAAUCUAAUAAUUAGAGAGAAAGGAAAAAUAUGAAAAUUGCACCGUUAAAAUAAAAUUACACUAUUUUAUAAAGAAAUACAAUUUAAUAUGAACAUUUCACUCUGUGAGAUAAAAUUAGACUAUUUGAAAUAAAAGUUACACUCCUUCGACAAAAAUUAUAAUGUUUCAGAGAAAAUUGCAUCCUCGUUCGCUUCUUGAAGAUGAGCACGUUUUUUUUCCUCACCCUCAAGGUUGGUGAGGACCUCCCCGGCAACGAUCUCAUUGCCUUCAUCUGCUCUGCCCUCACUGGGCCUGCUCCGAAUUCUUCUUCUCCUUCUCCGACGUCGGCGAAUGUGGAGGUGGCGCCACCCUCGUUACCGUCGCUGAGGGCUGCAGAGGUGGUGGACGAGACCAUGAGGGCUGAGAAAAAAAAAAAAAAAAAAAAAAAAAAAGGGAAAAAAAAAUAGAGAAGGAAUUAGAGGAUUGUUAUCAGUUUGGUUAAAAAUCCGACACCGGAUCUGUUAAAUCUAAACUAGUGGUUCACAUAUGUGCAAAAUCGCAAGGACUAAUGGAUUUUUUAUAUGCACAUUGGCCAGUUAUUUUAUGUUAAUAUCAUAAAAAAAUAACUAUUUGUUAGUAGAUAUCAGUAUUUUAAAUAUAUAUACUUAUAUAUAAUAUAUAUAUAUAUUAUAUACUAUACAUAUAUAUAUAUAUAUAUAUAUAGUCCAGCUACUACACUGAUAAGAGUACGAUCACCUUCGUAUUCAAAAGUUGUUUUCGAUGAUAGAGCUUCCGAAUCGACGAUUCAUGCCGCGUUAACUAUUAUCGAGAGCAUUUAAAAUUUUUAGAAAUUAAAUUUUAUAAUUUUUAGACAUCAUUUACCUUACGAUCAAAAGGUCUCAAAACUGACAAUUUUAACGGUCGGUACGGAAUACUUGCUAGUUUAACAGUGUAAAAGAAUCGGAAUCGGUUAAACUUCUAUCUAGGUAAAGAUUAAUAACUUCGAUUUUAAAUUGAACGAUUCAAUCAUCCAUUUUGAAGACGUUGUUCGAUUUUGACCGUUCAUUUUAUAUCCGCUUGAUGAACUUUAUUUUGAUUUCGAAAAUUUACAAAAUGUAUUUUUUAGAAGUUUCAAAUACUUUUAGAUCAUAUUUAACAGAGUAGAUUAUUGAUUUGGAAGCUUUAUUAUCGAAAACACCUUAUGAGUACGAAGAGCUCUAUACUCGUAACUAAAAAUGAUGAAAUGAUUAUUCCAGGGAUAGGUAUAAAUUGAGGUAUAAGUGGGGAUUAGAUCAAUUUUGCGUUUGGAUGAAAAUUAGGUUAUUCCUAGGAAUAAAAAAAAUAGCGUUUGGUUAGGUAAGAUGGAAUAAGAAAGAUAGUAGAUUUUUAUAAAUACAAAAUAAUGAUAUUACCAUCUUAUUAUAUUUGAAUUUGAAUUUUUAAAUUUUUAAAUUUAAAAUUUUAACUUUGAAAUUUUAAAAUUUAAAAUUAAAAUUAAAAUUUUAAAAUCUCAAAUUUUAAAUUCAAAAUUUUAAAAUAAGAAUAGGGGUGGAAACAAUUNAUAAAAUUUAUUAUAAUAUUUAAAUAUAAAUAAUAUUUAUUAAUAUAGUACAAUUAAUAAUUUUAUAAUAAAAAUAAUGUAUUAUAAUACAUAACAUAUUAUAUUUAUAUAAUUUAGUUUAAUUCAAUUUAUAAUUUUAAUUAAGUUUGAAAUUAAGCAUUGGAAUAGCGCUAUUCCACCAAAAUGGUGAAAUAGCAAAUCCCUUGCUAUUCCAGGAUAAUCGGGAAUAGUAAGGUUUGACCGGAAUAUUUUAUCCCGGUAAUAAAUCUUCCCGUUUGGCAGAAUAGCGGGGAUAACGAAAGUUAUCCCCGCUUAUCCCCUGAACCAAACAGCGUUUAUAUAUACAAUACCCAUAUAAUAAAACUGUUGGUUAGUAAGCAUUUCUAUUAUUGCAAUAACUAGUGCUGGGCCAGAGGCCUCUUUGGAUACAUUCAUCUUGAGCAAGGGACUCAGAACAUCCGAAAGAAUCGGAGUUCGCGUCACAUUCAAGUGACUCAAAGCAUACAGUGCAACCUUCAGUCAGCUAUGUAGUAUUAAGGUCCCUUCAAAUACUAUGGCAGAAACUUAGUGUAACCCUCGAGGUUUCGGAAGAAAUUAUCGAACUUUAGCCAAAUUGACUAAAAUGUAAUAACUGAAGUUUUUGGAUAAAUAAAAUUAAACCCUUGGUUGACGAUGUUUUUGUGUGUAAUUUAAUUACUAAAGCACUCGUCAAAUUUCAGGAGAAAAUGAGCUAAAAUGGAGAAGUUACGCGACCCGAACCGAUGACUUAAGUGAAAAGUAACUCCAGUUUUCCGGAUGAACCAAUGAUUAGAGAAGGGUUCUAGUGCACAUCGAACUCCGAAUAUAGGACUUCAAUAGCUCGUUUCGAAUGGCUCGACNGUUACUAUUCACUUUAAGUGAAACUUGGAAAUCGCGUAGAAUUUCCGUUUUAACUCGAUUUCGCCCGAAACUUGACGAGUGCUUUUGUAAUUAAAUUACACACAAAAACAUCGUCAACAGAGAGUUUAGCUACACUGCAAAAAUCUCAGUCCUUACAAUUAUGCAUUAUAAAAAUUUUUCAUUUAUAGAUAGACUCUUUCACUUCACCUCUUCCAUUACUCAUAUAAUUUAUAAUUUAUUAAAUUUUAAUAAAUUUAAUUGAACAACUUAAAUUUGAAUUCACAAUAAAUAUUAUUGAAUAACUACUAUAAAUAGUGAUGCGAAGGUUAUUUUGGUAAUUAUACAUAUACCGACAAAAAAAGGGUGAGAUGAAACCAACAAACAUAUUUGCUUAUAAUAAUAAGAAUAGAUAGAUUAUUGAACAUCACCCUAAUAAGCCGUGGUGGUUGAUGAUGGAGGGAGGUGGCAGCUCUCUUCCUCCGUCAGGGCCUCCUCACGCGAGAAAUUUUAACUCAUCAACAAUUUUCUUCUUGUAUUUUCAGAAAUUUAAAGUAAACUUAGAUGUACUUAUAUUACUAUGUAAUUUAGAAUUUUUUAUUGUGCCGCUCCAAGGAAUCAUAUAUAGGAAUGUAAAAAUGCAAAGUUUGUAGUUUUAACUUCACCUAAGCAUUUUGAACGGAUAAUUUUAGAUCCAAUAAGUUUUUAGUGCUGACCGGCUGAGUCGCUAGUUUGCUAACGGAAAGUGAUGUCUUGUGGCCAGGGUAUUGGAUCCGAUGAGGACAUUAAGAUCAAAAUGGAGAAAGUUUGUGAUCCUAUCGAGGAAAUUUGAACUCGCGAAGACGUCCGGGUUUAAAUGAGAAAACUCUAAAUCUCACAUCCGAUGAGAAAAAGCUCUAGUUCAAAUAACUUGAAAAUUUUGAGCUAGAAAUUUAAGUCCAACAAAUUAUUAGUGAUAGUAGACCAAAUCAUUACAUUUAUAUUUGCUACACUAUAUUCUUUUUUCAAAGAUGCCACUAAAUUAUUAUUUUCUCAUUAAUCUCUACGUUGCAUCAACAAACCUACCUUUUCAGAAAAAGCUAGCAACUUGAUUAAUAGGCACAAAUUGAAAAUAGCAGAAAGUAUAUAUUUGGCCCAUUUUAACUUAAAAUGCCUGCAACAUUUUUCUCAUCUUAUGUUUGCCGAAAAUUGUGGUAAGGCUUACAGUUUGAUAGGUGUCACUAAAAAAGGGUGUCACUAAAAAAAAAAGAUAAAGAGAAUCAAGGGAGUUCCUCGUAUAGCUCAGAAGAGUGACAAGUGCUUACGGCUUUUGCUCUAACCAAGAAACAUUCAAAGAAUAUUUUUGAUAUCAAGUCAAACGAGCUUCUGAAAACUAAACAGAAAAUAUCUAAUUUAAAGUUUCUGCUCUUUAGCUCCAGAAAAGAAGCAUCUCUAGGAAUCUACGAACAAGAACUUAACUGAUUGAAGUGCUCCGCUCAACUAGAAGAUAUUUUAACAACUUCCUGAACUUCAUCCUUCACUCACAAAAUAAAAUUUGACUGAUACCAUCAAUAUAAUGCAUUCAUUUACUUACAAAUAAUGCGUAUUACCAUCCAUAGCAUAUUAGAUUACAUCAAAGCUUACAUUAGUUAACUCCAAAUGAUAAUUAUCUUCUACUCUCAAUCCAAUCCACACGUAUAAUUCUUAUUAACAAGAUAGGAGGAGAAGAUGAAGAUUUAUUUCCCUUACACGCCGUGUCCUUUGCUCGAACCAAGCAGAUGGUAAGUCCUGCUAGGGAUAACAUGAAGAACACCCGGUUGCUCUGCGUUAUAACCAACAAAAUAAAUGCUGUCAAACUUGUGAUUGAAGAAGGGUCAAAAACAACAUAGCCUGUUUACUGAAGAUGGGUCAAAAACAACAUAGCCUGUUUAUUGAUUCCCAAACCCUCCCCCCCUACAGCAAAAAAAUGGUAUGCAAGUUCAACAGAAUCUGAUAGCGAAAUAUGGCAUGAUAUAGUUCUCAAACAGAGGUGACUUAGGUUAACCGAGCUUGCUGCAACACACAAUAAAGCUACUUAUUGCUCAAGUCAAUCUCAAGUGAGCUUCAGACUCGCAUACAGACACACGUAAUUCAGAUUACCAGCAACAUGAACAAACCAAGAGCAAGAUAUUGACCAACUGCCGAGAUCAUUUGCAUCCGGAAAUGAUCGGAAAAGCAAGCACAUCAAAAUUAAGAAGGAUAAUCAUGGAAAAUGAUUUCACAUCUUAAGAGUAUUGGCCUUUUCAUUUGAAAAAUACCAUAAUAAUCAGACGGAAUCAUGUACAACUUGCCAGAUCAGGUCAAUUCCACAAAAGAGAGAUGAGGAUUGCAAAGAACGGGUCAAGAUUGCAUUAGAUUUCGGAGUCUGAUUUUGACCGUAUUAAAGCAAAACAAAAGCAGGGAAAUAUGCUCGACAAAUAAUGCAGAUUCCAAUUUCUUUUUAUGAUAAAAAAAAUCACUGCUUGUCUAAACAAAGGCAUGAAAAGGAUGUUCAUUAUGGAUGCAAAAAAAAAAAUAAAAAAAAUAAAAAAAAUAAAAAUAAUAAAAAAUAAAAUAAAACAACCAAGAAAAAGUGAUUUUCAAGAAACUGUAACAAGCUAAUCAUAAGCAGGAUGCUAAGUUUCAUUAGAUAACCCACAGAAAAUAGUGAGCACUAAGCAAUCAAAUUCAACAUCAAAUAGAUGCAACUUAAACAACAUGGGAACAAUCCACUUGAACAAAUAGUUAAUAAAAUUUAGGAAAAACUUCAUAUGCCCCCCUGUGGUUUGCUUCUUUUUUAGUUUCGCACUCUAUAGUUUUAACUGUAUCACUUUAAGUAUUAUGUGGUUUCUAUUUUUGUUCUUCCGUUACAUCCUAUGUUAACUUUUCCAUUCAAACAAUCACGUGCGUUUUUUCGCCAUUCGGAACUCCCCAAGAAUGAUCAAAAUUAAGCCCUAAAGGGUCUCAUGCCUUUUCAUUGACCUUUGUAGGGCCAUAUCCGACGCAACGGAGAAGUUAAUGGAGGGUGUAACAGAAAACGAAGAUAAAAACCACAUGGUACUUAAUUGACAUAGUUAAAACUAUAGGGUACUAAAGUGAAAAUAAAAGGGUGUAAAUCAAGAGGUAUCUAAAGUUUUCCCUAGAAUUUAUCACAAAAAAUUCAUUAAUAAGCACAAAUGAGAAGAAAGGUUGCUGAAUAAUCCUUAAUUAAAUCAUUGUUUCAGUAAAAUAGUACUAACAAACAUUGAGGAUAUUGGAUGGAAAAAUAAAUACAGGCAUGUUGUUGCAAAGAUUAGACAAGCUUGGAAACAAAUCCACUUGAGUGAAAAAUUCAGGGAUGAAAUUGUGAACCAUCAAAUGUUCAGGGACUACAAGGAAAAUCUUAACCCUAUAAACAGCAAAUGCUUCAUAACAGCACAAUUAAUCAACAGAAUAAUCCAAUCCAGGGGUGAAAUUCAAUUUAACCUCGACCUCAAUCUAAACAGAAAACAAUUAAUUGCGGAAUAACCAUUCCUAAAUGAUGAGUAAGGUAUUAGACACCUAUAUUCCCCUUAAUAAUUAAGCCUACAAAAACAGGUAGGUCCAAUUGCUCGAUCACCAUAUGUAAACAACACGAUGAAUCAAUCCAAGUAAAACUGAAAUUACAAGCAAUUCAAUUCAUUGAUGAGGGUCGACAUGCGGAAGGAGAACUCACUUUUCAAUUCUUCAACCUGCUUUGGAGUGAGCCUCGCUGCAAACCCGCUAGCUGAAAGCGUGUAGUGGUAGAUCAUGGCGUCCUUUGCUGCCUCCUUACUGGAAAAUGUCCCACAAAAUCAUUCACAGAUUCAAAAUUUUGAGGGGGGGAAAGAAAUUAUAAAACUGGGAACUCGUAAAUAGAUUUCACAAGAAAAUAAGACGAACACACAAUCGGUAUCCCGAUUAGGAGACAAAACCAAAAUGGAAUAUUAUUACAGCCUCCUUUGUCAACCUCCGUCCUACGAUAUCCUUGAAAAAAAAUUUCGCAAGUACGACCAAAUCGAGGUAAAAACGCGCGUUUUUUCUCGAUUACGGGGAAACUGAAUCAUAAAUUAAAGGAAACGGAAACAGAAGCGUAAAUGAUAUACCACCGCUUCCUUCGCAGCCGCCUUACUGACGAAUCACCAAAUAAAUUCGCCUCCCCCCCCGCCCACCCCUCCCCCGCAAAAAAAAANAAAAAAAAAAAACAACCAAAUCAUGGAAUGAAAAAGAGAAAGGGAAAAAAAAAAAGGGAGUAUCACGACCUCCUUCGUCGUAAUAAGAAUCGCAUCUUUAUCUCGAUCAAAGGGGGGAAAACCGUCAAAUCGUUCAUAGGAGCGGAAAAUGGGGAAUGAAAUUAAUGGAAAAAAAAAAAAACAGAACAGAAGGUGAGGGGAUGGAUCUCGAACCUUCCGAGGACGGAGGCGAGGGUGCUGAUGUGGAAGUCCUCAGGGUCGGCGUCGCCGUCGGGGCGGGCGACGUAGACGAUCUGUGGGGUGGCCGCCUCGGGAUCCGCGGGCUCCGCGGCCGUCGCCGCCAUUGUUGAGGUCGAGAAGGAGAAAAGGGAGAGGAGGAGGAGGAGGAGGAGGAGGGAGACGAGGAGGAGGGGAAUGGAGGGGUAUUUGCUCAUCAUGGCUUCGGAGGGGACGAGGAAGAGGACGGGGAAGGAACAUUUGUUCGUCCAAAACGACGCUAUUUAUAUGGCGUUACUUGCACCCCCCGUGUCCGACCAGCGCUGGCAACCUACAAUCUCUCACCCCGAUUUGCUAAUUUUGAUUCCAUUCCAAAAUUAAUUCGAUUUGACAACAAACAAAAUAACAAAUAUCCUUUGAAAUUUAGCUUUUCACAGAGAGAUACCAGAACUUUCAAUUACGAUCAUUACAUAUCUUAAAUUUUAGCCUCUCCUUAAUUAAAGUUUUUACUAUAUAAUGAUUUGAUCGUUUGAAUUGCAUACAAUUUUAUAAAGCUUUAGAACACGAGCUUUUUUUUUAUUCCAAGAUGUAAAUAAAGUGAUAAAAAUAAAAGUUUCCCCCAUUCUAUUCUUCAAUCGUUGUGCUUAAUUAUCAAAAUUGAGAGAAAAAAAUGUUUUUUUUUAAUUUUUUGAAGUCUUACAGAAUUAUAUACACGGUAUCUAGCCAAAACAGCUGUGUAAUUAGUUAGUUCACUCAAGCGGAGAGACCUAUUGAAUUAUGUGUUAAAGUUUGGAAAAUGUAUUUGCCAAAAUUUAAAGGUUAGGCAUUCACUUGUAAAGAGCUAAAGUUCGGGAGUCUUUAUACAAUUUACGUAAAAAGAAAGAAAAAUGCUUCUUAUGCACCCAAAAAGAAAGGUGGAGAUCUUACACCCUCUAUGCUAUUAUUGAUAAAAAUUCAAAUAAUUAUUAGUAAAAAUAAAAAAAUGUGAUAAUUAAUUAACGGUCUUGUAAUGGAGUUGGUGUAAGAUAUACACCCCACUUUGAGGUGUACCGAUAAUAUGGCCCUUUGAUUUAAGUUUCUAACAUUUCAAUGUAUUUGUUUUUAUCAUUAAUAGCUCUUCUAAUAUAAUUUUAAAUUAAUUGCUUAUUUUAAUAAAUUUUUUUACAUUAAAAGAGAGUUGGGAGACCUAGAAUGACACGUGUUCCCCAACUCUCCACUUCGGCUCCCCUAUCCUCAUAUUCUCCUUCAUUACAACAAUAUUACAUACAUCCUAUCUAGUAAAAUAUUAUAUAUAUAUCAAUAGACAACAACUCAUUAAUGCCACUGAAUACCACUUUUCUUCGAUAGCAGAACUACCCUUCAUCCUCGUGGUGUGGAUUGGAUAAGAAUGAACCAACUAGUCGAAUGGUCGACCACCACUACGUAUUAUAUAUCGAUCGACCUCCUCGACUAACACAAGAGUCUACAAGAUGGCACUCUACCAUCCUAACCAUUCAAGAGUCUACAUCACCGUGUACGACUCUGUCCAUGGUGGAACUUACCUUGGUCCAAUUACCGGCAUUGCAUAAAAGCAAUAUCACAUGUGCAUUACUCAAUCAUGAGUGCCCCAAUCACACAUAGACUUUUAGCUCUAUAGCGAGAUGGCACCCUUCGGUACAUCUUCAAUUCUAAUUCACCUGAGAGCAUACUCCCCAAACCUCACAUGGCUUUCCACUAGCUCGUUGGUUGUCUUAUAAAGAGUACUUGACUCUACUUUCAUCUGCCACGGGUCACCAUCAUGUUGUUCUCCCGACGAGUUCACACGAACACUCUGUUCGUGAAUCCAAUUAGGCGAGCGGUAUGACCGAGCCUACGCUCCUAAGGUCACUACCCUCAGUCCUCCUACACGCUAUUAACGCUCUCCUAUUUCUAGAGCUAUCGGCUAAAUUGUUUAUCCCAAUUACCAUGGGUGGUCCACAGACCGCCAAUCCUACAUAGGCCUACUUGCCUUGACAACACGCAACGUCUCUUGCACACAAGUGCAGACCUAAUCAUCACUGGGUGGAGUCCUCACCUGAGAUCUGGCACACAGGCUCCCACUGGGAGCAACCGAGACCCUAAACCACUACAAGUCUUCGGGUUGGGUCAUCACUACACCCUCAAUACUAUCGAUAAAACGAUCUUAUACGUGGCAUUCCGCAUUCCCGGGUCCUAGCUCGGACUACCAACCCGACCAUAAAUCUCUGCACUACCCGUAGGUCUUGGGCCGCUGUCUCACACAGCUGACUGCACCUGUCCAUAUGGCCCCAGGCUUCACAGUUCACACAUGGUCCAGAUACGGAUCGCCCCCAAGUAACAUCCGCCACCGUCAUCACACACGACACGCUCUACCGAGCAACACAUACCUCUACCGGCUCCUACACACCUAGUGCGAGCCACCAGCCCUACGAGUGGUCCAUGGCUCGCUUCACACCUAGCAAUGCUGAAGUGCUACUGCCAACAAACCCUCUCGGCUGAGCCAUAAUUCGCACCCUACGGAUACCUAUACUCGAGCGUCUUACGGUACUAUGCCUUUCGCGAUAAACCAAGCACUACGCAAUCUCGCCCGUACUCACGAGUACACGAAUACGAAUUCCCCCACCUUGGUUGAGGUACUAUUCGACCGACUCGUCGGAACUUGGCGACCGUCCAACCAUUACGGAAUAGUGAUUCUACCAUCACUGUUCUGUCCCUCGGAUCGACAUCCGAAACUCUUGGACUACUAGGACAUCCCCGAAUAUCAUAACCCAACUCUCGCAACCAAUUAGAGAGUUGGUUCACCAUCUCCAUCUCGACCACGAGCUCUAUACUCGUUUCGCCACCAACAACUCGCCGGUAUCGUCUAAUCACCCAUCCCUUUUAGUAGGCUAUGCACUUUCAUGACGCAAGCAUGCCAGGGUCACUACACUUACCCACAUCUUAGUCCCUACUAUGUUUAUGCAUAAAUAGUAGUGAAUGACCGCAUGAUAAUUGCAUGCAAUGCUCCAAGAUUACAUCAUGCAAAAGCACACGACUUCUUCAACCAAAUCAUACUUACCAGGACGUCGUCAGUAGCAGUAGACUCCUCAAUUUGGGUCAUGUAGCGAGAACCACCACAAAUAACACACCCCGAAGAAGAUUAGGUAGAAGACACUUUUGGGGUUUGGGGUUGCGAUUGUAUAUGUCUCGGGGAUUGCCUAGAGCUCGAUUGACCACCUGAAUUACUCAUCAGUCGCAUCAUCCCCCUCUCUCUAACAAGAGGUUCGCGCUCCUCCCGCGUGAAAGCAUCACCUUGCUCCAAGACUCCAGCGAAAGUUUGUAAUUCAUAAGGAUGCACAACUUUGAAAAUUUUCAAUCAAAAUCCCUGCACAAAACAAUCAGCCUUAUCCCUCUCAUCUCGCAUCGCGUACAGGACACAGUUUCAAAUACAGGAGAAUUCCGCCUCAUACUCUCUCACCGAGCGGUCUCCUUACAGUGCGGCAUCGUGAGCCUAUCCUGAAGCUUUCUCUUCUCACUGUCGGGAAAGUAAGCAAAGAAUAUCAAUCCUCAAAACUCUUCCGAAGUUAAAGAAGGAAGACUGGGCGAUCGGUUUCAUUUGUCGCUUUUCCACCACACCAUUGCCAACUGUUCCAAACAAUAUGCGGCUAGGUGCACCUCGUUCCACUCCAAGGUGUACAGAUCCUCAAAGAGAAUUUUCAUGGAGUCAAUCCAUAUUUUCACGAUCCACGGAUCCACCGCCUCUCCAUCGAAGGUAGGCGGAUUGCAUUUCUUGAAGGUCAUAGAGCCGCCAAAGCUUAUUCCCGCUCCACCUCAAACGCCGCAUAGCCAAGAGCCGGAUUUGUUAGUUAUAUGCCCAAAAGCCAAUCCGCUGACACUAGCUUAAGGGUAUUUAAGUAUUAAUCAUUUAUAAUUCAUAAUAUAAGGGCAGAUAAUCUAUUCAUAUCUAUUGUAUAGCAGUACAAUAUUGACAUGAAUCGUCCAUAGAGUCUUUGUUUGAAAAGUCUUAAGAGUUAGGAAUUUGAGAUAUGUACUUUUCUGUACCGGACUCUUUAAAUGCUCCUAGCCAGAGGAAUAUUACAGGGAUGGUGAUAUUCCGGAUAGGCUGGUGUAUGCUAUGUUUCUAAUUGAGGUGACGAAUCUCAAGUCACUAGUGUAGGGACACUAGAACAAGCUUAGAGGUGCUUGUUAGAGAACAAGUAUACUGAGCGUGACUAUUUAGUUGAACAGUCAUAUGGUUCUAUGCUCGCCAGUGAUAAGUUCAUUGCUACAGUUGUGUGAAGUACUCCUCGGACCUGAGGCAUCAUAGUUGCUUCACGUAUAGAUUGCUACCAUUUGACAGUACUAAUAAUUAGACUCUAGACAUGGGUCUAUAUUCAGUACUGAUUGGCUGUGGUGAUUUAUGUGAGGAGGCAUGGGAAUGCGCAAUAAGGAAUCCAACACUCUCAAUGACAAGGGAGAAUGUCCUAUGCAGUCUAUCGGACUGACUCGGAAAACCCCUGGCCAGGGUACAUGGUAUGUGGAAAGAGUUUCCAACUAUGUUGUCAUAUUGAGUUGAUUUCAGAUAGUUUAGUCAUAUAGUCGAAUGAUAAGGUUUGGCGAGUAACCAUGGCCUUAGUUCGAUUGGGACGUUGUAUGUUGAAAGGAAUUAAUCACAUGGUAGCUGAAAGCGGAAAGGUUCAUUCUUCAUUACCAUUCUGGAUUGCCGUGAUAUACUGCUAGGUGUCACUCACGGACAGUGAGAGAAUAUGAAUGAUUCGAAUUGAAUUGUUCUUAUUUAUCGAUUAGAAGAGUUCUAUUUAAAUAUCAAAGAGUUUGAUGUUGAGCUCCACUGCCGAAUGGUAAUGAACCUAUGCGGUCACACACAUUAGGAAUUGUGUGCGCCUGAAUCGUUUGGAUGAGAGUCAUUCACUAAAGAGUUUAGUGUAAGCGAUGAAAAUAAAAAGAAGCUGUUUAAUUAAAUUAGAUUUAAUUAUUCAAUUCGGUUAUAACUGAUAGUCCUACUUAGAUUAGGAUCUCAGAAUCAGUUAGAGAAUUAUGCGCAAGAUUUAAAUUUAUCUCUAAUUAGAUUAGUAGAUAAUAUUUAAUCAUAAAAGAUAUUUAAAUGAGAUUUAAAUAUUAGUGACUAAUCUUAUUGGAUAAGAUNUUUAAAUAUUAGUGAGUAAUCUUAUUGGAUAAGAUCAAAAUUAGAUAAGAUCUAAUUAAAUAUUGGAGAGAUUAAUAUUUAUCUCUAAUUGGAUUAGAGAAUAAUUAAAUAUUCAUAAUAUCUUAUAAGAUAAGAUUUUUACUAGAUUUGAUUUAGUUGGAUAAGCAUGAAUAUUUAAUUGUUAAAUUUUAUUAGAGAGAGAGAAAAAUCUUAUUAGAUAAGAUUUUAUGAAAUAAGAUUCUAUAUAUACAUAUAUAGAUUUAUAUGUAUGUAUGAAUAUACAAUGAAUUAAAAAAAAAAGAAAAAAGAAAAAAAAGGUGAAACCGUACGGCACAUAGUGCCAUAUGGAUUGAAUGCAUGGUAAUUAAGAUGCCAUGCAUCUUAAUUAAUUUGAUGCAUGUUAGCCUUUUGAUCUAUAUACAUAUAGAGAUCAAUCUCUCCGAUUUCUCUCCCGCGCGCGUGUUUCUCUCCGGUCAACUUCUCUACUCUUCAUCGACCGGUGGAUCAUGAAAGGAUUGCUAGGACCGUCCAGACGGUCCGUGACUCAUCCUAUUCGUGAGACGAAGAUCGAUCGGGUCGUCGAUUCCGUGUGGAUACGCGUAGAGGCCGGGCAUGUGCGCGGCUCAUCGAAAUCUCUGUUCGUCAUAUUCAGUUUCAACCGUACAGUAGAUCAAGAGACCUUAACUGGUCCACGGUAAGAUCUCUAAACAUAAAGAGUUUUGUUUAGAUUAAAUUUUUACACAGUAACAUGAGAGUGAUCCGCCGGCAACGGUUUGAUUUAUUGGUUUUCGGUUUUCAUAUGUGAUAUGUAUUUGGCUUCCGAAAAAUUUUUAAAAGUGCAAAAACUAUUUUCCGCUGCAUUUUUCUGAUGUGCCGGUUAAUUUCUAACAGUGGUAUCAGAGCCAAUUCUCAUGUUCUAUGUAAAAAUAUUAAAAAUCAGUACGGUUCGAUCAAAUUUUUCGGAUUCUUUCUAUGAUUAGAUCGUUCUCAUUUUGUCAUUUUGCAUGUGCUACGAUUUGUUGUUUUAUUACAACAAUAUUGCCAAGCAAAAAUGCGAGAUAACGUAUUUUAUAGUUCCGAAAAAUUUAAUCGAGAUCUGAGACGGAUCGGUUGCAUUUUUGUAUAAUUAAUUAUAUAGGAGAUGAUCAUGAACUUGACUAGAUCUUUGUGAUGUGAUUAUGGAUGUAUCUCGAUGUUUUUGAGAUCAUGUGAUGUAUUUUUAUGGGUGUAAUUUACACAAUUAUUUAUUAUUUAGUUUCCGGUAUUUGUGAAUAGGGCCUGCGUGCCUUUGUUCUUCUCUUUAAAUUAAUUUGUAAUUUAUUGGGAUCUGCGUAUCCCUACUAGUCUAAUUUGUAAUAAUUAGAUCAGGCAAAAUUAUAGUUCUAUAGGAGAGUGUGCUCCGCAAGAGUUGACGGACUGAGGUCGUAAUUUUUUACGGCAUCGUGGCAUACAUAGGACUCAGGAGAAGAAGAUGAUUAAACGGUCGCAGACGGCCGAGAUCUAUCUGACCACAUAAGAUGUUGGUAAAUCUGGAAGUUGAAGAAUAGUUUUUCUCAAAAUUUGAGAAUGUGUAUGUGAAUGUAACAAUUACCCCAUAGACCGAUUUGUCUCAUCCGCUCGAGUCAAAUCAUAAAAGUUCAUGAUCAUCCUUUUUAGCAUACAGUUAUUUAUUUAUUUUGUGUGUAUGUGAUACAUGUCAUUUUAUAUCAUGAGAUGUGAUAUAUGAAUAUUUCUAUGAUGAUGAGACCAAAUUAAUAAAGUUUUAAUCUCCCUAUAAUAUAUUAAGUAGGAACGAAGGGGUAUAUGAUACUCUAUCAUGGCCUUCCGCCAAUCACAGGGUGAGAAUAAAGUUCCGACAUUGAGCAGUCACGCAUGGUCCCAUGGGGCUACUUGUGUUUGGGCAAUGUGAACAUCUUGUCAUAUGAUGCUACAAGAUAGGAUUACCAACGGAUCCACGAAACUGUCCGGUGAGGGGCUUUUGGUAGUUCCAUACUUGUAGGAAAGGUGGGUUUGACUUAACUAGGGCGUUUGCACCAAGAAACUGUCCGGUGAAGUGUAAAACCCUAGAGGCCGAAGGAUGAUCGGAUCAUACAUGAGAUGUGCCGAGGUAAGGUGUUACCCGCUUACUAAAUUACGGCUUUCCAAGAAACCGUCCGGUGAGGUAAGUCAUAAUUAUAAGACCCUGAUCCCCGCUAGAAAUAUCAAGGGUUGAUGAUUUCCGUCUUUCCAUCUAGGGAGUGUGGAAAUUCGAUAAAUUUAGUG